Molecule: non-coding RNA, 100 nt
Organism: Acephala macrosclerotiorum
Lineage: Eukaryota; Fungi; Ascomycota; Leotiomycetes; Helotiales; Mollisiaceae
Source: the annotation of a GenBank genome assembly
CAUAAGUUGGCGGAGUGGUUAACGCGAUGCCCUGCUAUGGAUUCGUCCAAGCUGUCAGGCAUUUCCUUCGGGAGCGUGUGUUCGAAUCACACAGGUGUCG